Molecule: long non-coding RNA, 153 nt
Organism: Gopherus evgoodei (Goodes thornscrub tortoise)
Lineage: Eukaryota; Metazoa; Chordata; Testudines; Testudinidae
Exons: 3
Source: RefSeq, a predicted model, not a curated record
UUGGUGUCCGCUUGUUGCUUAAACCUCUCUCUAGCCCUUCUUACACAUCUCCGCUGCCCCUCCCCUACCGAAGCUCACCAUCACACUGCUUCGUUGUCCUCACUCUGCAGGGCUUCAGAGUCUCUCAGCCGCUCCAAGCCGCACUCCCUCUCA